RNAcentral lists this long non-coding RNA (342 nucleotides) under Capsicum annuum. RNAcentral describes it as "long non-coding RNA (CANN_LNC009017)". The record is from RNAcentral. Lineage: Eukaryota; Viridiplantae; Streptophyta; Magnoliopsida; Solanales; Solanaceae.
ACAGAAAUACGCUCAAAUUGAGUUUAGAGGGGUAAUAGGACUCCUGUGAAGUUGGAGUGUGUCGUAGCAAAUUUGACCAUGGUUCGGGGAGGUACUGAAUGCUUAUCUCCACAAGAUUCAAAAAACUUUUUACACUUUCUUGAACUUCAUGCCAAAUGAAAAUCAGACAAACAAAUUGAAACGUAAAAAAACUUUUUACACUUUCUUGAACUUCGUGCCAAAUGAACAAAUUGAAAUAUAAAGAAACUUUUUACACUUUCUUGAACUUCGUGCCAAAUGAAAAUCAGACACACAAAUUGAAAUUGAAAUGUAAAGGAAGAAUGUGAAAUCAAGAAAACAUAC